Molecule: long non-coding RNA, 849 nt
Organism: Camelina sativa (false flax)
Lineage: Eukaryota; Viridiplantae; Streptophyta; Magnoliopsida; Brassicales; Brassicaceae
Source: RefSeq, a predicted model, not a curated record
UUUAGUUUUUUUUAUUUGGUUUUGUUUGAGUUGGUAUUGAUUUUCAAAUUGUAAUGUUGUUGCUCUUAUAUAAAUGUUUUGGGGAGGUUUUGUUCGGCUCGAUUUGAUUUACAGACAUUGAUGUUCUAGGGUGAACUAAAUGUAGAACUCUAAUUUGAGCAUCUGUUUGGUGUGGUAACAGUGUUUGCAUCUCUUACCUUCUUUAUGUUUGGUGUUGUUUGCGUCAACGGCCGCCAAAUUAGAUUGAUUUUGUUUUAGUUUUGUGACCUUGUGCCUGUGUUUUGGUUCUUUUUUUCCCCCUGUUUUGAUCGGUAUUUCCUUUUGUAUUUUUGUAUCCCUGCUUUUCUUAGCUGUUUUUUCUUUGAAUUUCUUCUUCCUGCAUAACAAUUUAAGUUCUUCAAGGUAUUCUUGUGGCCACAAGAAGAUUGUGCACUCCGGCUCAUGGUGUAGUCCAAGAAGAUCAUGUGUAUUGUUGUAGUGAAAGCGUAUAACCAUUGUCUCAUUUCUUGAAGUCUUGCUUAUCCAACCACAAUUUUCCUUCCACUGUGUCACCCCUGCACAACUUCACAAUUCCGUAAAGGUCGGGUGAUGCUUGCAUAAGAUGUCUGACUGUUGUGUGUGAAAUCCGAGCUACUCUUGAGAUUAUAUCUCCUAGCACGUCGUUUGGUAGUUGUUGAAGUGAGUAGGGUGGUUUCGUUGCAUUUUUGCAAAGUUGGAGAGUAUAUUUUUCUGUGUUUUCUGUAGCGUGCUUUAUAGUGUGGACGUGUGUUACGUUUAUGGGUGUUUAAAAUAUAACUCUUGGCCUCCCAUUAUUUAGUUUUAACUGGACCUUUGAUGUUGAAGUUGUAA